RNAcentral lists this ribosomal RNA (253 nucleotides) under uncultured bacterium. RNAcentral describes it as "partial 16S ribosomal RNA". It matches the Rfam family "Bacterial small subunit ribosomal RNA", at positions 524 to 776 of the family's 1533-position model. The record is from RNAcentral.
UACGUAGGUGGCAAGCGUUGUCCGGAAUUAUUGGGCGUAAAGCGCGCGCAGGCGGUCUUUUAAGUCUGAUGUGAAAGCCCCCGGCUCAACCGGGGAGGGUCAUUGGAAACUGGGAGACUUGAGUACAGAAGAGAAGAGCGGAAUUCCACGUGUAGCGGUGAAAUGCGUAGAGAUGUGGAGGAACACCAGUGGCGAAGGCGCUGCUCUGGGCCGGUACUGACGCUGAGGAGCGAAAGCGUGGGGAGCGAACAGG